CCUCAUCCCUGCGCCUCAAGGCAGGAGCAGCCUCAGUGACUGCGUUUACUUCUCCACGGCCUCAGUGCUGGGCAGAAGGCUCAGUGCCUCUCCUGGCUUCCACCCAUUUCUUGGAGAGGCAAGCUGAGGCCGGGAGGUACAUCCAGGGUGGAGAUGAGAUCGUCUUGUUUCUACCUGAGAAUGGGGAGUGCACAGGCGUGACGGGCACAGAGGCCUCGGAGCCUCCAGACAGCGUCCUCCCAGGCAGCUGGGUAACAGCUGGGAAUGAAACGUGAGCAGGCACCUUGACGGAGGGCCAUGGAGUGAGAGUGGACAGGGAGGGCCACGGAGUGAGAGUGGACAGGGAGGGCCAGGGAGUGAGAGUGGACAGGGAGGGCCACAGAGUGAGAGAGUGGACAGGGAGGGCCACAGAGUGAGAGUGAGCAGGGAGGGCCACAGAGUGAGAGUGGACAGGGAGGGCCACGGAGUGAGAGUGGACAGGGAGGGCCACGGAGUAAGAGUGGACAGGGAGGGCCACGGAGUGAGAGAGAACAGGGAGGGCCACGGGGUGAGAGUGGACAGGGAGGGCCACGGAGUGAGAGUGGACAGGGAGGGCCACAGAGUGAGAGAGAACAGCCCUGCAGGGUGGACGGCAGGGGGAAGCUAGGAGACUCCCUUAAUCCAACCACCUGUUCAGGAAGCAGCCGACAGCCCGCAGGAUCAACCCCUGUGCAGCAGCUGAGACAACAAAGCAGACCCGCCAGCCCUGCCUUUGCAGAGGGCGAGAGCUGGGCCGUGGUCAUCAGGGCUUGCAUGGUGCCGUGAGAGCCCUGACGCUGUCUCCCCCCUUGCAGGCCUGGCUGGGCCCCUGGCCGCUCCCCCAGCCAUGGCAGGACCACGGGCACAUGGCUGCUUGUGAGUUCUCGGUCUGUGGGACACAAGCGAUGGAGCCCGUGUCCUCGUGGACAGUAGGUGGCGUGGUCUAGGAAGAAGGGGCUGCGCAGGCUCUGCUGUGCCACGCCGUGGCCUGGCGUGGCGGCUCGGA
RNAcentral lists this long non-coding RNA (1024 nucleotides) under Oryctolagus cuniculus (rabbit). RNAcentral's name for it is "lncRNA (ENSOCUG00000029993.1)". The record is from RNAcentral. Lineage: Eukaryota; Metazoa; Chordata; Mammalia; Lagomorpha; Leporidae.